AUAUUAAAACUAUACAUGAACUUU
Molecule: microRNA, 24 nt
Filed under: Gossypium raimondii (Peruvian cotton)
Lineage: Eukaryota; Viridiplantae; Streptophyta; Magnoliopsida; Malvales; Malvaceae
Description: gra-miR8709a
Source: miRBase by way of RNAcentral